Molecule: long non-coding RNA, 1618 nt
Organism: Clupea harengus (Atlantic herring)
Lineage: Eukaryota; Metazoa; Chordata; Actinopteri; Clupeiformes; Clupeidae
Source: Ensembl
CCUGCUCUCUGCCUCCGUAUCACAUCAAAGAGUCUUCACGCUGAGCUCCCUCUCAGAAAAAUGAAAGCCGAAAGCUGAAAGCCUGUGAGUCGCCAGGGUGACGGCACGCCGAGUCCUCUCCAGACGCCGUUGUCAAGGACACCAUCACGAUGCAGAGUGACCCAGAGUGUGCCUGGCCUCUGUAGCGGAGGAAAGACGAGACGAGAGCACUGGUGUGUGUUAGGGGAGGCCUGCAAGGGCUUAGAGGGAGAGGAAGAUCAUCAGGAUGCACAGAGAAAGUGUAGAAUAUGCUGUAAUCUGUGUAUGUUUAUGGAGGAAGAGUGUAGAAUAUGCUCUAAUCUGUGUAUUUUUAUGGAGGAAAAGUGUAAAAUAUGCUCUAAUCUGUGUAUGUUUAUGGAGGAAGAGUGUAGAAUAUGCUGUAAUCUGUGUAUGUUUAUGGAGGAAGAGUCUAGAAUAUGAUGUAAUCUGGGUAUGUUUAUGGAGGAAGAGUGUAGAAUAUGCUCUAAUCUGUGUAUGUUUAUGGAGGAAGAGUGUAGAAUAUGCUGUAAUCUGUGUAUGUUUAUGGAGGAAGAGUCUAGAAUAUGCUGUAAUCUGUGUAUGUUUAUGGAGGAAGAGUGUAGAAUAUGCUCUAAUCUGUGUAUUUUUAUGGAGGAAAAGUGUAAAAUAUGCUCUAAUCUGUGUAUUUUUAUGGAGGGAAAGUGUAAAAUAUGCUCUAAUCUUUGUAUUUUUAUGGAGGAAAAGACACAAUGAAGAUUAAAGUUUAAAUAGGAUGCAGAGACAUUGAGGUUGUGGAUCUGAUAUGGUCAUUUAUAUCAAAGUGUAUUCUGGUCCUCUGGCACCGGCUGCAGCAGAUACUGUGUAGAUUUGACAAGAAAGUCACAUUGGGAGAAAGCCAAGAACGUCAAGAUGGAAAGAGAAAAUGAAGAAUAGUGCAAUUGAAGAGACUCCAGAUGAUAUAUGCCUGCCAUUCACAACGGGUAUUGGCAAAGCCCAGAUUGUAUUCAGAGACAAAUCACAUUGUGACAAAUGGGAUUCAGUGACAAAUGACAAACAUUUCUGGCUAGCCGAAACAUGAGAAUUUGGACGCUGUUUUAAAGCUUUUCCUUUCUGUACCUGGUUAAGAUUCAUAGAGGGCCAAAUAUCUCUCAAUUUGCUGCACUGAAAUGAAAUGAGGAUUCACACUCCUUCACACUCACGUCUCUUGAAGAUAAACGGGUUUGCCUUUCUGUUAUUUCUUCGCCCUGUAAAUCCAUCUCCCCCAGACACUCACACAUCUUCUGCUUUUCUGUGCGGCCCAAACCCUUUAAAGAACCCCAACAUCUCCAGCACACGACUUUGAUCCUCGCUGUCAGUGCAUCUUCUCCACCACCCAUUAGAACAGCUCCACUCCACAGGUCCUCAGCUGUUUCCCAGUGCCUCACCCAUUAGAACAGCUCCACUCCACAGGUCCUCAGCUGUUUCCCAGUGCCUCAUGACCUUGCUGACGUGCACAUCAAACUGCUCAACAGGGCGUGAAUGCUGGGGAACACUUCCUGAAUACAAACAGGAACAGGAACAGGAACAUGGCAUGUUUUUUUGUGUUCAUUGAGCUGCUGGUAAUUACCUUUCGAUGCGCAAU